This 238-nucleotide ribosomal RNA is filed under the name uncultured bacterium. RNAcentral describes it as "partial 16S ribosomal RNA". It matches the Rfam family "Bacterial small subunit ribosomal RNA", at positions 96 to 334 of the family's 1533-position model. The record is from RNAcentral.
CGGCGAACGGGUGAGUAACACGUGAGCAACCUGCCCCGAAGACUGGGAUAACACCGGGAAACCGGUGCUAAUACCGGAUACCCCCACCAGGCCGCAUGACCAGGUGAGGAAAUGAAUUUCGCUUUGGGAGGGGCUCGCGGGCUAUCAGCUUGUUGGUGGGGUAACGGCCUACCAAGGCGACGACGGCUAGCUGGUCUGAGAGGACGACCAGCCACACUGGGACUGAGACACGGCCCAG